RNAcentral lists this ribosomal RNA (1301 nucleotides) under Aspergillus sp. Its description in RNAcentral is "partial 28S ribosomal RNA". It matches the Rfam family "Eukaryotic large subunit ribosomal RNA", at positions 77 to 1389 of the family's 3401-position model. The record is from RNAcentral. Lineage: Eukaryota; Fungi; Ascomycota; Eurotiomycetes; Eurotiales; Aspergillaceae.
CCCCUAGUACGGCGAGUGAGCGGGAAGAGCUCAAAUUUGAAUCUGGCUCCUUCGGGGUCCGCAUUGUUAUUUGCAGAGGAUGCUUCCGGUGCUGCCCCCUGUCUAAGUGCCCUGGAACGGGCCGUCAUAGAGGGUGAGAAUCCCGUCUGGGACGGGGUGUCCGCGUCCGUGUGAAGCUCCUUCCACGAGUCCAGUUGUUUGGGAAUGCGGCUCUAAAUGGGUGGUAAAUUUCAUCUAAAGCUAAAUACUGGCCGGAGACCGAUAGCGCACAAGUAGAGUGAUCGGAAGAUGAAAAGCACUUUGAAAAGAGAGUUAAAAAGCACGUGAAAUUGUUGAAAGGGAAGCGCUUGCGACCAGACUCGCUUUCUCGGUUCAGCCGGCCUUCGUCCCGGUGUACUUCCCCGCGGGCGGGCCAGCGUCGGUUUGGGCGGCCGGUCAAAGGCCUCGGGGAAUGUAGCGCCCUCUCGGGGCGGCUUAUAGCCCGGGGGUGGCAAUGCGGGCGGGCUGGACCGAGGAAAGCGCUUCGGCACGGACGCUGGCAUAAUGGUCGUAAACGACCCGUCUUGAAACACGGACCAAGGAGUCUAACAUCUACGCGAGUGUUCGGGUGUCAGACCGGUACGCCCCAUGAAAGUAAUGGAAGUGGGAGCCCCCUCUGAGGGGCGCACCAUCGACCGAUCCUGAUGUCUUCGAUGGAUUUGAGUAACAGCGUAACUUGGGGACCCAAAGAUGGUGAACUAUGCCAGAAUAGGGAGCAACCAGAGGAAACUCGGGGGGAGGCUCCAACGGUUCUGACUUCGGACGAUCGUUGUUCAAAUUGGGGUGGGGGUGGGAAGAAUUAUUUAGUCCCUUCCGGUAGUAGUUUCGUUCCGGAGUUUUCUUCCGGCAGGCUAGCAAGAGGGGAUCAGUUUUAUGAGGUAAAGCGAAUGAUUAGAGGCAUUGGGGUUGAAACAACCUUAACCUAUUCUCAAACUUUAAAUAUGUAAGAAGCUCUUGUUGCUUAGUUGAAUCGUGGGCAUUAGAAUGGAGCGUUAUUAGUGGGCCAUUUUUGGUAAGCAGAACUGGCGAUGCGGGAUGAACCGAACGCGAGGUUAAGGUGCCGGAAUGCACGCUCAUCAGACACCACAAAAGGUGUUAGUUUAUUUAGACAGCCCGAACGGUGGCCAUGGAAGUCGGAAUUCGCUAAGGAGUGUGUAACAACUCACGGGCCGAAUGAACUAGCCCUGAAAAUGGAUGGCGCUCAAGCGUGCUACCCAUACCUUGCCGUCGGGGUAGAAACGAUGCCCCGACGAGUAGGCAGG